UACAGAGGUCCCGAGCGUUGUUCGGAUUUAUUGGGCGUAAAGGGUGCGUAGGUGGCAAAGUAAGUUGGAUGUGAAAUCCUGGGGCUUAACCUCAGAAUUGCAUUCAAUACUGCUUAGCUAGAGAGCUGUAGAGGAGACUGGAAUUUACGGUGUAGCAGUGAACUGCGUAGAUAUCGUAAGGAACGCCAGUGGCGAAAGCGAGUCUCUGGGCAGCAUCUGACACUGAGGCACGAAGGCCAGGGGAGCAAACGGG
Molecule: ribosomal RNA, 253 nt
Filed under: uncultured bacterium
Lineage: Bacteria
Description: partial 16S ribosomal RNA
Rfam family: Bacterial small subunit ribosomal RNA
Source: RNAcentral